RNAcentral lists this ribosomal RNA (60 nucleotides) under Metabacillus indicus LMG 22858. RNAcentral's name for it is "Bacillus indicus LMG 22858 partial 23S ribosomal RNA". Lineage: Bacteria; Bacillati; Bacillota; Bacilli; Caryophanales; Bacillaceae. The record is from RNAcentral.
UUUUGGUUAAGUUAUGAAGGGCGCACGGUGGAUGCCUUGGCACUAGGAGCCGAUGAAGGA